Molecule: long non-coding RNA, 4278 nt
Organism: Falco peregrinus (peregrine falcon)
Lineage: Eukaryota; Metazoa; Chordata; Aves; Falconiformes; Falconidae
Exons: 3
Source: RefSeq, a predicted model, not a curated record
GCCCCCGGACCCCGGCCCGGCACCGGCCGCGCCCCGAGCCCCCGCCGCCGUGCUGGCCCCGGACCGGGGCGCCAGCGAGCACCGGCCCCGCAGGGAAGGGCCAGGGGGGCUGCGGGAGCCGCCCCACCGCUGGCAUCGAGUGCCGGGUCCCACACCGGCGUCACAGCAGCCCCCGCAGGCUGGGGGCACCGUGCCUGGAAAGCCGCCCGGUGGGAAAGGGCCUGGGGCUGUCGGGCGGCAGCUGCUGGAGAUGAGCCCCCAGUGUGCCCAGGUGGCCGAGGAGGCUGAGAGCAUCCUGGCUUGUGCCAGAAACGGUGUGGCCAGCGGGAGCAGGGCAGUGACCAUCCCCCUGUACGCUGCAGAAGCGCAGCUGCCGCACAGACCCUGCUUCUCUUCCGCAGAGGGGAUGACUCACCGUGUACACACUGAUUAAUGUCAAGCUCUGCCUCUCCUUUGAGUAAUGGCAUUAACUGGGGACGGGUUUGGAGCUGCAGACUUCCAAGCCCAGUUACAGACAAGUCCCUCGACACCGGAUCAGGCCAAAUAUUCAGCCAGAUGCCACAGGCGCAGGGGCUGGGCUCCUCCGAAAGAAGCCGUGCCCGGGAGCAGGGACAGGAGCUGUCGGGCACAGCUGCCACAAGAGGUCCCUGCACGCUCGCUGGAGCGCCGGGGCGAGCGGCCGAUCCGAUGGGAUUCCUCAGUCACGCCUUAUUUGCAGAUAAUGCCUUUUUCCACCCAAAUUUCAAGACGUUUUCCAACAGUCCGCAAACGGCCUGGGAGGCAGCCCAGCCAGGGGACGGGUCGGUGGCGGUGCCUGCUCCCAGCAGGGCAGGGAACUCCUUCCAGAUACCAGCAAGGAUGCGCCUAGGUCCAACACGUAACACCAUGGGGACCACAGCUGAUCCCACGGCAGGGGCAUCACAGCAGCAGCCGGGGUGUAAACUGAGGGUCCGGCAGGUUUUUCAAUAGCUGGACAGUGUCUUUUUUUCUCCCUCUCACAGGCUGGAGCUUCUCUGCAGCCCGUCUGAGAAAGAGAACCCAUUUCCCACAAUAAAGAGCUGGAAGCUUAAUGAUAACCCCUCAUAUGAAUUCUGCCAGACAAGCUGUGUCCUCCUCCAGAUGCUCCCCACUACUCCUGGGUGGGGGUUUGGGUGUGCUUUCACAGCUCCAGCAUCCCUUACACAAGGAGGAGCCCACUUGGCUCUCCACCACCUGGGGCUUGCUGUAGCCGGCAGAUGUGGGAGCUUCUGACACGGCACAGUCCUUCUGGCAAAAGUCAUGCUCCUGUUUUUGGAAAGCCUCACUUCCUUAAUCAGCCUUUUUUAAGCCAGGGAAUCAUAAAGCCCAUCUGCUCAUCUAAUGCCAGACCUGGCUCACACCUGAAAUAAUUUGAGGAGUCCAAGAUCUCAAAACAAAUCAAGCAGCUUGGCUUCCAAACUUUAAUUAGCCAUUGUCUUCAUCCCACUCUAAACUGUGUCACCACCUUAUCUGCUAGGCCAUAGGAAGUCAGAUGAUACAGGAAUGCUUUGCUCUAUAUAUCCACAUUUUCAUUCAGAAAGUCUGCAACUCCACAUUUAUGAAAGGAUCUACUGUGCAAAAUGCACACCCUGUGCAGCAAAGCAUGCCCAGGCAUCGCAGAGGUAGUGGAUGCAAACUUGAGUGCCCACCCCUUCCAACCAGAAACACCUUCCUGUUGUGGAAGCUGGAUAUUCUCCAGGUGGAACUGGGGAUAUACUCGCCAUAGCCACGGGAGACAGGCACAUCAGUCCCUGUGAACAUAGUGAGCACAAGUGUUUCUGCGAGCACUGACAGUGCAGAGAGUUUUUACUAUGUUUUCCCCCAGCCCUUAGCUCCACUUCACAUGCUCACCUCCCCAGGAUUUAAUGCAAGAAACACCGAAGAGUGCGUCACUGAACCGCUGCCCUCAGGACCUGGUCUUGUUCGGCAGAGGAAAUCAUCUGGUUUGCAUCGUAGCCCGUCCAUUCACCCUACUCAAGUCUGUGAGCUCAAUGUCCCGAGAGAAAGACUCUUCCUUUUCCCUCCUCCAGUGUUUUGACCAUCCCUGCAGGUGUUCUGCCGCCCAGGUUGAUCAUCCUUCCUGAGAUCAUUCCUUGAACAAUAAAUACAAUGUCUCCUGGGAGCUUCACAGCACCGGGAUGCUCUGGUGCCAGCUACCAGCUGCUGGUCACUGUGUGGCUGAACACAGCACACUGCCUUCUGCAGCCUGGCAUGCGGGAAUGUCCCCCCCUUACCAAUAGCCAGCGCUACCCAGGCAGAUCCUACUUUGCCCCAUGGCAGGUUGCUCUGGAUGCUCUUGCUUUUGGCCUUCUUCCUCUUUCCCAGGACUGGAGGUCUUUUUUUAUCAGGAUUUAGCACAAGGGACCUGUAGGAGAAGCCUGUGACAACAGUACAGCAUCCCUAAGGAUGCUGCCGGCUCAGCUGUGUCUCAAGGGCUUGGGCUCGACCAGCUGCCGUGAUUUAGUUGUGCAAAGGAUGUGCUCUCUCCCUCACACUCAGGUUGUACAGGUGUGCCGUGGGAUAGAACAAAAUUUCGCUGACAGACACACUGACUGGCAAAACCCCUUCAAGCACAGCAGCACAGGCAGUUCCUUCUAUUUCUCCUCCACUUUCAGUAGCUGUCAUGCCCCAAAUUUAUCUGCUUCUGAAUUGUUUAUCUGCUAUAGCAAGGUUUCAGGUUCCUUCUUUCCUGAUGGUGAGCAGUGAAACAUGGGGCAGGGCGUCUGCCCAGCCUGUAUCCCAUCUUUCCCCAUCGCCGGACAUGAAUGCUCAGGAAAAAAAUGUAAAACAGCACAUGUAAUUAUUCUUACCCCAUUUAUGCUAUGAAUAAGCAAAUUCAUUCUCACUAAAUAUUGCCUUCUCCACAUCUUCUUCCCUUGUGGGAUAAAUAUUUUUUCCCCUAUUUAGCUCCCCAUUCUCAAGCUUAAGUAAUUUCUGACGGGUAUCUAUGUGCUUUCUGGUUACAUCAUGACGUAUUUAUGACCACAUGUGGUUGGGGUUUUUUUUGCAAUUCAGGCAGGUUCAGAAUGAGUCCUGCAAGGUGGAAGCACGUCUCAGCCCCUACACCUACUCAGUGCAGCAUCACACAUUGCUGAGCCCACUUGAUUCCUCCUGUGUUACAAAUAUAAGCACAGGAGCUUCCUAACUGCGUCUCCUGCUGCUGCUGGCUCCGCAACUUGGAACACGUUAGGUUCCCUCCUGAAUUCUCUUGUUAUUAAUAUCACAAACCAAGCUGUUCUGAGAGCGGUGUCCCAUUAAUCAUUUUAGCUCUGCUGCAGUUUUCACCUCGCUUCCUCUUCCUGUGCCUGAACAAGUCUUCAAUAACAUUUGACUCUGUGGGUAAUGCUUGGUUAAAAUUGGCAGGUCUGCUGGGGCAGAGAAGGACCUGAGCAAGCUAGGGGCAAGCAAAGUGGGACAAGGGUGCAGCCACACGGCCGUGGCUGCAUUACAGCAUGAAAAACUGUGCUACACCAGCUGAUGGUAGCAGGGACUUGAAAGGAGGAGAGCUACCCCUCUUAAACCUUCGCCUCUAAAUCUGGAUUUUUCCGGAGUGCUGACAACAUGGGAGAGAUGCAGCAAAAGUGAAGAUAUCUAAUAAAAUAAAAAUAAAAAAAAAAAAAAAAAAAAAAGGUCAGCUCAGUGUCUCGAGUGAGUCAGUGCCAAUGUCGGCAGCUGGAACAGUUAGAGAUUUCUGGUGCCUACCUGGGCUCUGUGUUUGAGGGCACCGCUUCCUUUUACUCCCUUCCUCUGUUUAGUCCUGCUGUGUUACAAGGAAAGGUCUUAACCACUCACUCUGGGUUACCUAACAAAGGGCUAAAAGAUGCUUACAGAGCAUCUUCCUGAAAAUCUGCCUCUGAUACCAUCCCAUCACCUGAAUCCCUCGAGGGCACGCUGUGUGUUCCUAGGUGCUGGCUCUCAGACACGCAGUAACACAGCAUCCCCGCAGCUAACCCAAACCUUCCCUCUCACACCCAGUACCUUUUCCAACUUUCUAUCCUUUGCCAUUGUCUUUGUCCCCAUCAGAGACAGGCAUUUUGUUUUGUCUUUAUCCCUUUGCAUUUUAUAAAAGCCCUUUCCUGGGUGCUCGGCUGCAUCCAACAGCAUCCAUCCGCAUGCAGCAGCAUCCAUCCGCAUCCAGCAGCAUCUAUCUGCAUCCAGCAGCAUUCAGCAGCUGAAUGAGCUGCUCAGCCUGUAGUGAGAACAGCACCGCAUAGGACCGAGCUCCAUCUGGCUCGUCCCAAAGCCUCCCACAGCUGCACA